GACGUAAGUUGCAAGCGUUAUCCGGAAUUACUGGGCAUAAAGGGCAUCUAGGCGGUUAUAUAAGUCAGAAUUGAAAUUCAGGGCUCAACCCUGUCCUUGGUUUGAAACUGUGUAACUAGAGUGCAGGAGAGGAGGGCGGAACUACAAGUGUGGAGGUGAAAUUCGUAGAUAUUUGUAGGAAUGCCAAUGACGAAGGUAGCUCUCUGGACUGCAACUGACGCUGAAGUGCGAAAGCUAGGGUAGCAAACGGG
Molecule: ribosomal RNA, 251 nt
Filed under: uncultured bacterium
Lineage: Bacteria
Description: partial 16S ribosomal RNA
Rfam family: Bacterial small subunit ribosomal RNA
Source: RNAcentral